This is a non-coding RNA of Python bivittatus (Burmese python), 2290 nucleotides long. Lineage: Eukaryota; Metazoa; Chordata; Lepidosauria; Squamata; Pythonidae. The record is from RefSeq and is a predicted model, not a curated record.
UACGGCAUUCUUAGGAGUUGGGAAGCAAAACGUAUUUCUACUGCUGCUCCAUGCUUUUAGACAUCCCGAAAGUGAGAGAGGAGGUAGAGUGCAACCUAAUUAGGAGAUUAUAAAUCAUCUGACAAAAAUUAUCUUAGUGUAGUUAAAUGGUUAAUUAUAUUAUUAACAGUUACAGCUAGUGGAAUAUUGUCUGCUACAUCAUAUAUUUGAAACGUAAGUAGGAUUAUGAUGUGGUUUAUUUCGUCUUUUAGGACAGCAUCAGCUUGUUGCUGGAGGCAGUAAGGACCCGGAAUGAAGAUCUUGCUCAGACCUGGAAAAAAUCUGAACAGUGGGCUACCAUUGAGCAGCUUUGCAGCACAGUUGGCAUUCAGUUGCCAGGACUCCAAGAAUAUGGUGCCAUGGGCAGUUCAACACAUGCAACAACAUCCUCAAUGUGGGCCUGUCAGCACUGCACCUUCAUGAACCAGCCAGGCACAGAUCAUUGUGAGAUGUGUAGCCUCCCACGUAGCUAGGCCCUGUUUGGCUUGGCAUUCGGGGCGGCUGUUACAGACCAACUGGCAGAAAUACAGAGGCAAACCUUUAGCCAGGCAGGGCUGUUCUUCCUCCUGGGAUGAUGCGCUGUGUGGGGCGGGGCAGAACAGGAAAGGGGGGGAAUGACCCAUAUCACAGGUAUUCAGUGCCAUUUACAGGGUGGCAGCUUGCAGUUGGAACAGGAUGUCCCAGUGGGAGAAAAUAAGAUGGCCCCACUGUGCUGCCUUGUCUUUUCUUUGCUCUCAGUAUUGUAGAAAGCCAGAGGUCCUGCUUCCCUUGAGCUGCAGUUGCACAGGUGGCUCAUUGGCUCUGUGGGCUCAUGGCAGCGUGGCCAUGUCCCCCUGUUAGCUUGCAUGCCACAAGCUUUCCCCGCCUUAAGCUAGUCAAUGAGGCUAGGCAGUAGUGUUGAAGGGAUGACUUGGUCUCCCAGGGCUAGCUUGUGUAAUGUUGUUCUCUUGACAUGCUUUGCAUUUAGCCCCAGAGUUUCUGGGUCACUGGUGCCUGAGUCAGAUCGGUCCACUCUCUCAUCACAGCUUCCAAAUUGAGUGACCUGCAGUAGCAGGACAUGCUGUGGCUUUAGAGCCCCAGGCUAAACCUUGGUGCUGGAGAGGAGAGAGAACAUCUUUCUCAACCAGGCAGGGAUGACCCUGGUUGCCUCUUCAUACAUUUCUUGUCCUACUCAGCUAGAACGGCAGCAGAUUAAAGCAAUUCCCUGAGCUCCUCAUCUGCGGCUAGGCCAGAGACAAGAUGGUUCUCAUCCAAGUCUGGCCAUGGGAAGCAUAUACUCUUGCUUCCUGAUUUGGAACCUUACGGCAGCUUCAUUCCAGCUGUGUCAGGACUGGGAAGGCAACAGUUCACAAGCAGCUACUUUUCCCAAGUCUCCAUACACUAUUUUCCCUUUAUAUUUAAAGCAAUUUCCUGGGAUCUGUAGCUAUGAGCAGACAAAAUGUCUAGGCAUUUUAUUCAUGUCUAUUAACGACUAUACAUGAUCACCACAACAAAGUUAAAUGGGGCAUAUAUUGGAAUUGGAGCUUUGUCUUACCUCACUGAAAUCCAAGCAUAUUGCAGUAGAAAUGACCUUGCCUCUAGAAUACAACCCUGCCUACUGUUCAAAUAAUCCUAUCUUAGCUGUGCCUCCUGUUCCUUAUUUCUUCUGAUACCUGGGCUCCUCCAUUCAAAGGUAUCCAAAGAUGUUUUUUCAUUAUCCAGAAUUCCUGGUAUCUCUGCUAGGAUUGUUUUAUGUUAAGGCACAUUUGAUUCCCCUUGUAGUAGUAUUCUGCACAACAAGCCUAUAAUUGCCCUGGCAGAUCCCUCAACCUUAGGGGGAAAGAGGCCUUCACCUCACCUCUCUGGUUCUGUGGACAGGGCCUCCUGUUUCUGUCCUUCCACAGUUUUUAGGUAUUCACCACCACCACAAAAUGUGCCUCCGUCCCAGCUCCCAUUUUCAUUAUGGGCAUGUAGGACUGGGCUCCAAACAACUGCUGCGAGGGAUGUGGUCUUUGCCUUUCAAGGCAGUUGUAGCUGGGGCUCAGUCAAGUGUUCAAAAACACUUUCUCUGGCCCUAGUUACGGCUGGCAGGAUGUGUGAUUUUUGUUUCCUGGGUUUGCGUUUUGACUAGAUUUCUCAAGCUCAAUGGGCUGUAGCCGCUCUUGCUGUUCCUCUUGGUUCUUUGGGUUGCAGAGGUGUGUGAUUGGUUUGGACUGAACUUAACUGAAUAACAGCCCUGCAAAUAAAAAUCUAUUAAAAGCAUCCAAAAUGA